GAGCAGCAAGCUGAGCGCGGCGUGGGGAGCACGAACGGCGCGGGGGACUCCGGCGGCGCCGGGUUCCCGCGAUUCCUGCUUGCGGCUCAGCGAAGCAGCCUCCGGCGGUGACGAACACAGCGACAGCGUCCGGGAGAUGCGGCGGGUCUCCCCGGGGACCGGAGUCCUGGCCUCUUUCUCAGCCAUAUAUAAUCUCAUACUUUGAUGAAUAAUUCCUUCAGCUCAAUGGAUAAGAGAAACCAGGCAAAACUUCACCCUCAAAGUAAGUUAUUGGCCUAAUUUAUACACCAAAUCUCUUUUUAGAGUUCCAUAAUUGUUUUUUAAUCAGGCACAUUAGUUAAAUUCCAAGCAUCAACAAAAAGAAUUAAAUACCCAUAGUUAAGUGCUUUUCAAAUUAAAUAUUGCCAGGGUCUGAAGUUUUGUAUUUUCUAGUAAACAGCACCAGUCAUCUGCCUCAGUCAUUGAGUGGUAUAAUGCCUCCAAGGCACAGGAAGAUGAUUGGGUUUUGGUGAGCAGUUAUAGAAGGCCAGUCUGCUCAGGACAAAGACAUAGUACAAAAUAUAUUUGAUCUGCACUUACAAUUUAUGUGCCAUUGUCUUGUGAUUGAAGUACUGUGCUAAAGAUUCUGGGUCUGUGAUCAAUUAGUAAUGUCUGC
This 655-nucleotide long non-coding RNA is filed under the name Heterocephalus glaber (naked mole-rat). RNAcentral's name for it is "lncRNA (ENSHGLG00000045421.1)". Lineage: Eukaryota; Metazoa; Chordata; Mammalia; Rodentia; Bathyergidae. The record is from RNAcentral.